This 252-nucleotide ribosomal RNA is filed under the name uncultured bacterium. Its description in RNAcentral is "partial 16S ribosomal RNA". It matches the Rfam family "Bacterial small subunit ribosomal RNA", at positions 524 to 776 of the family's 1533-position model. The record is from RNAcentral.
UACGAAGGGGGCUAGCGUUGUUCGGAAUCACUGGGCGUAAAGCGCACGUAGGCGGAUGUGCCAGUCAGGGGUGAAAUCCCGGAGCUCAACUCCGGAACUGCCUCUGAUACAGCACGUCUUGAGUUCGAGAGAGGUGGGUGGAAUUCCUAGUGUAGAGGUGAAAUUCGUAGAUAUUAGGAAGAACACCGGUGGCGAAGGCGGCCCACUGGCUCGAUACUGACGCUGAGGUGCGAAAGCGUGGGAGCAAACAGG